CCUGCAAAUAAAUCAUCCCUUCCAUAGGUAAAACAUUUGAUUCAUUAAUGUGACACAAAAGCAUAAACAAACAAGCCAUAUACUGAGAGGAUUAAAUUGUGUUUGAAAACCAAUAUGUUGUGUAGUGUUAAUUAUACUUAAAACACAAGGGUAUGUAUUGGUUUAGACACUCAAAAUGUUUCAACUGCUGGAAACACUGAGAUGGCAACCAGCUCGUGAUUUAUUUCACUUUUUAAAGCCACUAAAACCAUUCUGGAAAUAUUUCGAAUUGACUUAAAUUGGACGAUAGAUAGCUCACCAGCAUUUGGUUCGUACCAAGAGACGAAGGAUGAUAGAGAUACGUCUCCAACAACAUCUCUUCUUUUAGAAGAUACACAAAUUAGUUUAAAAAUAUUCCUAAGACAUGUUUUUAGUGUCUCUCUAUUUUAGAAGUAGAGACACUAUCUAAAGAUUUUUCCUGGUAUAGGGACGAUUUUCAAGUUUUUGUCUUUGUUCCCUUCUACAAAUUUAUUUCUAUCCCCGGUGUAUGUGUUUCCUUUAUCUCAGAAUAGUAACCAAACACAACCUUUGAGAUGUGGGACAUCAUUAAGCUCAAGGUGAAAAAUUCAAAAAUGUCUCAUAAUAUCAAAAACAAGAAGAGGAAGCCACAAACCAUCAAGCCCCCAUCCCAAGUAAAGAGGGGUAAUGCCUAUAGCAUCACGAGCAGCAAUGAAGCUUUUAUCUCUUGUGUCAAGAAGCACAAAGGAGAACAUCCCAUCCAGCAUAUCAAUAAAUUCUUCUCCAUACUCUUCG
Non-coding RNA from Arachis ipaensis, 792 nucleotides. Lineage: Eukaryota; Viridiplantae; Streptophyta; Magnoliopsida; Fabales; Fabaceae. The record is from RefSeq and is a predicted model, not a curated record.